Molecule: long non-coding RNA, 1682 nt
Filed under: Homo sapiens (human)
Lineage: Eukaryota; Metazoa; Chordata; Mammalia; Primates; Hominidae
Description: non-protein coding lnc-COL6A1-2:1
Source: RNAcentral
GGAAAGGCCUCACACAUUCUGCCCCGGCUGACGCCUUCCUUGGGCCAGUGCUCGGGGGUGUGUAACAAACGCCAAGACGCAUUGUAAAGAAGGAAGCCUGCGUUUCCAUCACCGGCUUAAUAUCAAACAAAAGUGCAAUUUUGAAAAUGUAGUCCAAGGUUUUCUGUGGUGCGGAAAUGGCCAGGCCAGACCUCCGUGGGUGGUCCUUCGUGUCCACGUCAGCGCCCUACAUCCACACUGUGGGCACCAUGACCUCACAUGCGGAGCGGAGCAGGGCCGGCGCCCGGAGAGCCAGGCUGGUCACGAACGAGGCCUAGAGGGCGUCAGGCCCCAAAGCACUCACAGGCUUCUCCUCUGUCCUCGGGGCCUUCAGACACCUGCAUGCGCCGAUUCAGCCACCCGCGCGCGCCGAUUCCCCUGGCCAUGGGGUUUCCAAAGUGUGUGCUCAGAGGACAGUUUCCUCCAGGAUGACCUGUCAGUGGCUCUCUGUGCCGGGGACGUCGCGUGCUGGGUCCCGGUCUGAAUGCUUCCUAACGAUUUACCCAGUUCCUUUUCUCCACUCAGGAGGCGUUUGCUGAGAGGCACAGGCUGAGCCCCCGUGCUGAUGCCACGACCGAGGGAACGGGUCUCCCUGUCGGCGUGAACUGACCCGGCCAGGCGUCCACUGCCACUCGGACUGUCUCCCAGGCACGUGGCGCCCACACGGGCAGAACACGCCCUCCACACACGCGGCUUCGGGCAGAACACGAGGCGCCCUCCACACACGCGGCUUCGGGGCUUGUCAUGAAAAAAGCUGAAUGCUGGGGGUGCAGCUUUCACCAACAGAAUCCCGUUUGGAAGGGACGCGCCUGCAGGCCUGCAGAAGCUGCAUCUCGGGAUGGCCAAGAGCCCGGCCAGGCCCCACGGCUGCACCCAGGACGGGAUUCAUGCCCCAUGCCUGGCUUCUCACGACCACAGAGUGCCUUUCCCGGGACUGGAUGGAGGCAGAGUGAGAGAAGAGCCUGGAGCAAGUGUUUUGGACCACAGUGAUCAAACACGGAGCCCGUGGGAGGACGUGGGAGGACGUGCGGGGCUUUGCCGGGCGAGCCCGAUGCUGCUCACGGCACCUGGAGUGUUCGGGCCGCUAUUUGGGCGGUGUUCUGAGCAGCCGUCAGACCUUGAGUUUUGCUGUCAAAAGCUCUUCUCUCCUGCCCCGAAAUAUACCCAGUCCAUGCCCCAAGAGGAAAGGCCUUUGUGCCAGGUGGGCACCCGGCUGCCUCUUGGCAAAGACUUGUUGGAAAAAUGAGUGAGUGACGAGGCUGCUGGUCAGCGUGUGGCCUGUGGCGUCACUGGGGCCUCUGGCGGCUGCUGGAACCAGAAGAGGAGCCUGCGCUGCAACCCAGGCCGCACCACAUCAGGGUCUCACUGGGAGCCGGAGAGCUUGUUCCCAGGCAACCCUGAAACAGAGAAGUGUCCUUGGAGGCUUCACCCACGCAGACCCACGGCUUCCUGGUAGAAGCCGUCUGCACCCCCGCACUGACCUGGCUCUGUGAGGAGAGCGGGGAGGGGCUCCAGGGAAACAUCCUGGCGUUGGCGUAGCCAGCCUGUGAGUCACGGGGAAGCCGGCUGCCCGGAUGCCCCCCAAGGACCCGGUGAGUCCACACACAGUACAGCAGGGCCUGGGCCCGCACCACCGCCUUUUC